Molecule: ribosomal RNA, 695 nt
Filed under: Candida tropicalis
Lineage: Eukaryota; Fungi; Ascomycota; Pichiomycetes; Serinales; Debaryomycetaceae
Description: SSU rRNA
Rfam family: Eukaryotic small subunit ribosomal RNA
Source: RNAcentral
AGAUUAGCCAUGCAUGUCUAAGUAUAAGCAAUUUAUACAGUGAAACUGCGAAUGGCUCAUUAAAUCAGUUAUCGUUUAUUUGAUAGUACCUUACUACUUGGAUAACCGUGGUAAUUCUAGAGCUAAUACAUGCUUAAAAUCCCGACUGUUUGGAAGGGAUGUAUUUAUUAGAUAAAAAAUCAAUGUCUUCGGACUCUUUGAUGAUUCAUAAUAACUUUUCGAAUCGCAUGGCCUUGUGCUGGCGAUGGUUCAUUCAAAUUUCUGCCCUAUCAACUUUCGAUGGUAGGAUAGUGGCCUACCAUGGUUUCAACGGGUAACGGGGAAUAAGGGUUCGAUUCCGGAGAGGGAGCCUGAGAAACGGCUACCACAUCCAAGGAAGGCAGCAGGCGCGCAAAUUACCCAAUCCCGACACGGGGAGGUAGUGACAAUAAAUAACGAUACAGGGCCCUUUCGGGUCUUGUAAUUGGAAUGAGUACAAUGUAAAUACCUUAACGAGGAACAAUUGGAGGGCAAGUCUGGUGCCAGCAGCCGCGGUAAUUCCAGCUCCAAAAGCGUAUAUUAAAGUUGUUGCAGUUAAAAAGCUCGUAGUUGAACCUUGGGCUUGGUUGGCCGGUCCAUCUUUCUGAUGCGUACUGGACCCAACCGAGCCUUUCCUUCUGGCUAGCCUUUUGGCGAACCAGGACUUUUACUUUGAA